GGUUGAUGCUGGAUCAGAUACACUGUAGAUGGUUUCUGGAGACCACCUCUGAAUCCUCUUGUACUGUGGACAUAAAAGUCGGUGUACAUUUUAAGAAGUGGUGUAUCAUGCAAUCGAAGAUAAAGACGGGAACUAUCAACGAGUACAAGAAGGAAAUGGAGAUGAUGUUGGAUGUGGCCCACUCGUAUCUUAAGUCCAAAACUUUUGAUGGUGAUGUUGAUGAAUCCUUGUCUCUCUCUCCGUAAAACAAAGAGCUGUGUCAUGGAUCUUCAUAGCAUCAAGCAUUUUGUAAUUUUGUGCCAUUUUCCCCAUAGGAUUGGGCCAUUAUAACUCAAGCAUGUAGACUAUUUUGCCUCCCUCCUCUGAGAAGUCUGAAACCCACCCGCUUUUCAUUGGAAGCAAGCAUGUCCGUUAC
Telopea speciosissima is the source of this 415-nucleotide long non-coding RNA. RefSeq lists it as uncharacterized. The record is from RefSeq and is a predicted model, not a curated record. The transcript is spliced from 3 exons. Lineage: Eukaryota; Viridiplantae; Streptophyta; Magnoliopsida; Proteales; Proteaceae.